Molecule: ribosomal RNA, 404 nt
Filed under: Fusobacteriota bacterium
Lineage: Bacteria; Fusobacteriati; Fusobacteriota
Description: Fusobacteria bacterium partial 16S ribosomal RNA
Rfam family: Bacterial small subunit ribosomal RNA
Source: RNAcentral
UGGGGAAUAUUGCACAAUGGAGGGAACUCUGAUGCAGCGACGCCGCGUGAGUGAUGAAGGAAUUCGUUUCGUAAAACUCUGUUCUAUGGGAAGAAAAGGACUGUACCAUAGGAGAAAGCUCCGGCUAAAUACGUGCCAGCAGCCGCGGUAAUACGUAUGGAGCGAGCGUUGUCCGGAAUUAUUGGGCGUAAAGGGUGCGCAGGCGGCUUUACAAGUUGGAUGUGAAAUAUUGUGGCUCAACCACAAACGUGCAUCCAAAACUGCAAAGCUUGAGUUAAGGAGAGGUAAGUGGAAUUCCUGGUGUAGCGGUGGAGUGCGUAGAUAUCAGGAGGAAUACCGGUGGCGAAGGCGACUUACUGGACUUAAACUGACGCUCAGGCACGAAAGCGUGGGGAGCAAACAGG